RNAcentral lists this ribosomal RNA (439 nucleotides) under uncultured bacterium. Its description in RNAcentral is "partial 16S ribosomal RNA". It matches the Rfam family "Bacterial small subunit ribosomal RNA", at positions 339 to 795 of the family's 1533-position model. The record is from RNAcentral.
CUACGGGAGGCACCAGUAGGGAAUCUUAGACAAUGGGGGAAACCCUGAUCUAGCCAUGCCGCGUGAGUGAUGAAGGCCUUAGGGUUGUAAAGCUCUUUCGCUGGGGAAGAUAAUGACGGUACCCAGUAAAGAAACCCCGGCUAACUCCGUGCCAGCAGCCGCGGUAAUACGGAGGGGGUUAGCGUUGUUCGGAAUUACUGGGCGUAAAGCGCGCGUAGGCGGGCUAUUAAGUCAGGGGUGAAAUCCCGGGGCUCAACCCCGGAACUGCCUUUGAUACUGGUAGUCUUGAGUUCGAGAGAGGUGAGUGGAAUUCCGAGUGUAGGGGUGAAAUUCGUAGAUAUUCGGAGGAACAUCAGUGGCGAAGGCGACUCACUGGCUCGAUACUGACGCUGAGGUGCGAAAGUGUGGGGAGCAAACAGGAUUAGAUACCCCCGUAGUC